UAUUAUAAUAUAAAAUAUAUUAUAUACAAUCACCAUGUGAUAAAAGUUGUGAGGUGUUAUUAUUAUUGUAGUAUACUUCAGAAAAGUGAAAACUUGUGGUUAGCAAACAGAUAAGAUAACGAAAACAUUACCAGCUAGCACAGCAAACAAAGAGAAAAGUGAAACGAGUCGUGUGAGAAAAGUGACGACGACGACGAAAGCAAAUUGAUAGAAAACAAAGAAGAAAGCAAAUUGAUAGAAACCUGGAGUAGACGACGACGACGACGACAUGGAGAGACGACGGGAAGGAAGCAGACGGCGGCGCCGGAAAAGGUGCGGUGGAUGCACAGUGAGCAGCGAUAACAGGAUUAGAGAUGUGAACACAAAUGCUUCAAAUAAAUUGUGAUAAGAGCUUUGAAAGAAACUCCAAUGAGAUAUCAUCAAUGAGGAGCUGAUCAAUCUGUCUACUUCCAAUCAAUGAGUUUCCUCCUAGUUUGUUCUUAUCAUCCACUUUCAUCUUAUAGCAAUGAGAACAUGUCACUAUAUGUGCUGAAAAUAGCUUCAUUUAGAUAAUAUGAGAGUCACUUGAAUAAGGUGAAAAUAACUACAUCCAGGUAGACACAUACCAUCUCACAACCGAAAAAUGAUGAAUGGUGCAAUGGCUUGAUUAAACUGAAUCCAAUGCCAUAAACAAUACUACCAUAAACUACAGAGUGUACUUGUUUUGCAUAUCUUAAACAAACAAAGCUUUUGAGAUUGAUGAAAUGGUGGAUCAAGUGAGUAUUGAAUCAAUAUUAGGAGCUACAUCAUCAGCAACAUAUUCAGUGACUUCUUGAUUCAUAAUUUGAUUGGAGUCUAAAUCUACAUCCUUGAUUCAAUUUCUCUUCCAUCAUCUUGUUCUAAAUAACAAUUAUUCUAUGCAAUGAUGCCCAUAUUAGUCGAAAAUUGAAAGUUCAAAGUUUUAAAGAAUAGCAUAUACAAAUUUUAAGCACCAAGACAUAUAAAAUAGUUUGGUUAUGAUUGUCUUACAUCGAAUGAAUGUUGUUAAAAAACCAAGAACUAGUUGUAUACAUGUUGUCGAAGUAUAACAAUUCCGACCCCAAUAUUCACAUUGUGAUGUCCACUUAACUGAUU
This 1113-nucleotide long non-coding RNA is filed under the name Medicago truncatula (barrel medic). RNAcentral describes it as "lncRNA gene50616". The record is from RNAcentral. Lineage: Eukaryota; Viridiplantae; Streptophyta; Magnoliopsida; Fabales; Fabaceae.